CUGGCUCAGGAUGAACGCUAGCUACAGGCUUAACACAUGCAAGUCGAGGGGCAUCGUUAUCGAAGCUUGCUUGAUAGAUGGCGACCGGCGCACGGGUGAGUAACGCGUAUCCAACCUUCCCCUUAGUAGAGGAUAGCCCGGCGAAAGUCGGAUUAAUACUCUAUGUUGUAUUUUGAGGACAUCUGACGAAUACCAAAGAUUUAUCGCUAAGGGAUGGGGAUGCGUCUGAUUAGCUUGUCGGCGGGGUAACGGCCCACCGAGGCGACGAUCAGUAGGGGUUCUGAGAGGAAGGUCCCCCACAUUGGUACUGAGACACGGACCAAACUCCUACGGGAGGCAGCAGUGAGGAAUAUUGGUCAAUGGGCGUAGGCCUGAACCAGCCAAGUAGCGUGCAGGACGACUGCCCUAUGGGUUGUAAACUGCUUUUAUGCGGGAAUAAAGUCAGGUACGCGUACCUGUUUGCAUGUACCGCAUGAAUAAGGACCGGCUAAUUCCGUGCCAGCCGCCGC
Molecule: ribosomal RNA, 509 nt
Filed under: uncultured bacterium
Lineage: Bacteria
Description: bacterial SSU rRNA
Rfam family: Bacterial small subunit ribosomal RNA
Source: RNAcentral